GGCUCAUCUCGAUAUUCAUAUCCAUAGCCCACUGGACCUUUUUCUCCAGCACCCAGGGAAGCUACGCCACCACCACAACAUGGACCAGGCGGACCAGAAGGGCCAGGUAGACCAGGCUGGCCUGGUGGACCCUAAAAGGAAACAACAAAAAAGAGGAAAAGAAACUGAAAUGAGCCACAGAAACAAGUGCAAACAAUCUGAUAAGACGAAACAACAGGAAAGAAAAAGAAAAAAAGGAAUCUGAAGAAAAAAAAAGCAGCCCUUCUUUAGAGAUUGCAAGGACACAAAGUGAGACGCCUACUUUCCCAUGGUUAAGAAAAGAGUUUUUCCUUACCCUUGCUCCUGAAGCUCCUGGACUUCCAAUUGCACCUUGAGGACCUAGGGGACCCUACAAAGAAAAGAACAGUAAGUCUUACAAGUAAUGUUUUGCAGCAAGGUAGAUGUAUCUUAAAGAUACCCAGAACAUCUUAAGGACUAUGUCAGAUGUAAGAAUGGUUGCCACUCUUAUACCAGUGAAGAUUAUAAUAAAUUCUCUAACUGAAAAUGUUUUAAGAUGUGAUUAAAAAAAGUGAUACCAUCUAAAAUCAAGAAAGCCAACUGACAUCAAUAAGUAGCGAGUGAUAUAUACAUAAGAAUAUAUACAUAAAGGCUCAAAACACUGCAGAUUUAAUCACAUUACCAACAAGGUUACUUAGAAUUUGAUUAAUGUUCAUGUCUGUUUUUUAAAAAAAUUGCUCUUUUAUUCAUGAAUCAAAAAGAGCUAAACAUUGUGUCUUCAAACAAUUCAUGGUUUAAUUGAGAAUUCAGACUGCUUCUUAUUUGUAAUUGACUCUAUAAAGGUACACUGUAUAUUUCAAUGUAACUACAUGAGUUUUGUUUUCUUGAUUAUCAGUUUAAUCAGGAGUGCUGCUAAGAGUUUUUUUUCCCCCCCAAUAUAACCUGCUCUUUAAAUUUUUGUCAUCAAUACCUAUGGCUUGCCUGUCUAUUACCCUUCAAUUUUAGCUAUUAGUAACCAUUAUAAAUGUUAAUGCAUGUUUACAAUUCAUUAGGUGGUGAUUUCAUGCCAAUUAUGCUACGAUAUUUAUUACUGAUAGAGAUGCAUGACAGAAGAGACAAUGUUGGACUUGGAGUAACUUUUAUUUUAUAGAUUUAGAUGCUUGUUUAACAUAUGUAUCUACUAGAUAGAAUUAAGUAUUGAAAUUCGUCUCUUCCCUAUUUAAUCAGGAAUAGCCUAUAUAACUGAAUGCACAAAGUCUUUUUUUCUAGCCAGAGAGACACUGAGCUCCUAGCAGCUUCUUCUGGUUAUUCAUUAAUACUUAUUUCAGGUUAAUUCACGAAACACGAACUCUUGAACACAUCUGAAAAAUCAAAUUACCUGUUUGCUAUUUUUCUUUUCCUCUUCAAAUCAGCUAAGUAACUGACUGGUUACCUGGGACCCAAACCACAUAAACUAACAUCGCUGGAAUUUCUAAUCCAAUGCAAGAUACUCACAGGAGGACCAGGGAGACCUGGCGUACCAGGAAAUCCUCUAUGACCCUUGAUGCCAGCGCUGCCUCGUUCACCAGUUUCACCUUUAUCACCACGAGGACCUUGAGGACCCUUUAAGGUAAGAUUUGUGAUAAAAGGAAUAUGUAAAUAAGUAAGAAAAAUGCCAAAAGCUCAGGAAACACUGAAUGUAUGAUAUCAGAAAUACUUAAAAUAUGACUUACAGCAGGUCCACGAGCUCCAGCAGGACCGGCAGAGCCAGGAGGUCCAGGUGGACCCUGUGACACAAUAAAAACAAGAUAGCAUGGAGCAGCUGCAGUUGACUAGACCACUUUAUUUCCUGAUAACCAGUAUACUCAGAGACUCAAGGAAGCACCACACAUAGACUAAGCUGAAUUUUGGCCCUUUUUUCUGCCAAAGUCUUACUGCUUGUGUGCACCCAUGCCAAACCUUGAGCAUAAGACCCUUUCUUCAUUUUUCAAGGUGUUCAGUGCCCACAGCACUAGUGUCAGCAUUUCACAAAAAUAUCUUCAAUACAUACAAGAUUACUCCCUUCAGUUCAAGGAAAUAACACUGCUUGUGCUGCAUGACCAUUGUAUGGGAUGGGAAUUAAUGGUGGAAUGAUGGCAUUUCUCAGCAUCCUAAGUAUGUGGCUGUUAAUGCUGUCAGCAUAUAGUUAUCAGCAAUAUUAACUGGGAUGUCUUUCUACUUGCUAUUCUUAUAAAAGUGGUUCUCAAUGCCAAGAAACCUUGGGGAAACAAAUGCAAGCAACUAUAGUAUCACUGUUGUAAACUUCCACUCCUACAACUGCAUGAAACAGACUGUGCAUGGGAAGGACAUGUAAACAUGCGUAUUUGUUUUAUUUUUACCUGAAAUCCUCUUUCACCAGCUUUUCCAGGGGCACCAUUGUUACCUGCAGGCCCUGGGUGACCAGGAGGUCCUGGAACACCAGGAGGGCCGCUUUCACCACGGUCACCCUGCAGACAGUCACAGUAAGAAGAGUAAGAAAUUUAAUGGUUUAUAAAACUGCAACGUAAAGAGUACAUUCCCUCCAGUGUUAAAUGGUUCAAGUUAUGUGGCACAGAAUUAGGUAAAUGUACUGUCAGUUAGGACAAUUCAAAGGCAGUGGUGAUUCCUUACUUUGCCGCCUGGGGAUCCAUCCCGUCCAGGAGAGCCAUCUGAGCCAGGGUUACCCUAGGGGGUGGGGAAGCAAAAAUAAAAAUGGUAGAUUUUAUUAAACAAACAAACCUGUUUAUGGAUAGAAAGCAUUUUCUCCAGUAAAAUGAAAUAGUGUUCAUCAGUGUAAGAGAGCAUUUUCAACAGAGAAGCAUUCCUGAAGGUGAAGGGUUCAUAAAAGAUCUACUAGACAUUUGACUUUGUAAGCAUACAAGCAGAAAAUUCUCUUAUUAGCAUUCAAGUGAGACAGAGACAUGAUCCCCAAGUAGGAAAGAACAUAAUGGACAUUGUAGGCUACACCUCACAGAAUCACAGAAUGGCCUGGGUUGGAAGGGACCUCAGGGAUCAUGAAUCUCCAACCCCCCCUGCCAGGCAGGGCCACCAACCACCCCAUUUACUAGACCAGGUUGCCCAGGGCCCCAUCCAACCUGGCCUUGAACACCUCCAGGGACGGGGCAUCUAGAACCUCUCUGGGCAGCCCAUUCCAGCACCUCACCACUCUCCUUGUAAAGGAACCUCCUUCAUGAAAAGGUAAUCUGCACAGUACUGUGCACCAGGUGCUCAAGGGAACCUUUGUUAACCUUAAAGCAUGUUCACUUCCUGAUUUUUCUGCAUGCAACUCAAAAGUUGUCAGAAAGGUCUAACACAUCCACUCACAUCUCUGCCAGGCUCUCCAGGUAAGCCUCUCUGACCCAUGGGACCUUGUGGACCAGGAGCACCACGUUCUCCUGGGACACCAUUGACACCUGGUUUACCAUCUUCACCCUAAAGAAAAAGAGAAGAUAUAAUUGCAGCUAAUGUGCUUAUUUAAUGCCAUUGUAUUAUACAUCUUCAACUCAGUACGCAGUAAUGAAGGACAUCAGAUACAGUGAAGUGCCACAUGAUUGUGAAUACUUGGAAUAGGAAAAGGAAGAACUUCUUCAGACUUUUUCCCCAUCAAUAGUAAUACCCAUAGAAGACACUUGAAACUGAGGAGCAUGCUUUACUGUUUUCUCAACUAGAAAAUACUAAGGAGGUAUAUUACUUCUUAAUUGCCCAGAAACAAUAGCCAAAGCAUUUAACAAAAGAUGACUGGCUAUCCUAGCUUUUGGUGAUAUAACAUAAACCAAGCCUCCCAUCUCCUUUUCUGGAGGCAGGUGAAAGUAUUUUCCUGUUUGGGUCAUAAUAUUUGGGCAAGAAACAUUGAUAAUUAAGCAAAGAUAACUGGCGGUAGUUGAAACUAUGACUUAAACUCUCUCUAGGAGCUUUUACAGUUCACUUCACUCAAAGGGGUGAGGGUGGUUAUACACUUAAUAUAAUGACAAUUCAUCUGAUCCAUGAGUCUUGGGAAUAGAGAUUAAAGGCUACAUUAGAGACAUCCCGUAACCACUGGAUGUUCAAUAGCCUGAUCUUAGAGAUGCAAGUGCAAAUAACUGGACUAAAAAGCUAGGAGGCUAUCAUCUCAGUGCAUGCACACUCACCUUGCCACCUGCCAUGCCAGCUGGGCCAGGGAGGCCACGUGGACCUGGUAAACCUGUACUGCCACGGCUACCAAUGAUGCCUUGGGGUCCUGGGUCACCUGGUGUUCCCUGUUUAAAGAAAGGUUAGGCCAGUCAACACCAAGCAUCUGGUUUCUGAGAGUUGACAAAUACAGCCCCUGCCUAUCGGUGAACUUUCCUGGCUGGAUAUGUACUUACCCUCUCUCCUCGUGCACCUGGAGGCCCUUUUUCACCUGGUGCUCCAGGCUCACCACGUAGUCCAGGAGGUCCAGAGCCACCAGGAGGACCAGUGUUACCAGGGGGUCCAGGAGGCCCAUCCUUGCCUGGAGGCCCUGCAUUACCAGGGGGACCUGGACUACCCUACGAAUUUUAAAAAGAGCAUGAGUUGUAUUACCUGAAAGAGUACAAUGUACUUACUGGCAUUGCUCUUGCCUCCUGAAAGCCAAGCAGGUUGGUUUAACUGCCUAAAGGUAGAUUGGGAGCACAACCCCAGUAUACCAAGAUCUGAUCUGGUCUUAAAAAGAGUAUUUGUCCCCUUGUCCACUGCUGCUUUCAGCUCAUGUUUUUUUCCUCCCUGCUCUCUGGACAUGUGGUUUCUGUAAGGCAACACCUGCAUGUUUGGGAUGUCUAGUGGCUGUAGCACAUUCAAGACAGGAUACACAUUCCUCACCCAAAGCUCUGCCACUGCAAUUUGAAGCAGUAGUGGUCCCAGCUGAUUUCUGGAAAGACUCAUGCAGAUAUCUUUAAUGGUGCCGUGAACACAGGCAGAAAGAUGCUUUUCCUUAAAAAUCCUAAUAUGUCUUGUUAUUUAGUGAUAUUUACAUCUAUCAGUAACUAUAAAACAAACUUGUUUAUUCAACUAUCAAAGAUGUUUUCUGAUGUCUUGUCCCAGUUAAAAUACAACAAUGAAUAGAUUGUAUUUAUUUAAUAUAGUGGAUAAAUGCAUUUUAUUCUUCGUAUUUUCUUGAUCUUUAAAAAGAAUCAAAAAUCAGACUGGAUUUUUCUCAUCAAGACAAAAGUGGGUGCAUGUUGAACACUCAAGGACAUUAUGAAACAGUGUAUAAUAUGUCUGGAAAUAGAUACUGCACAAGCAUGACUCUUUUUUCUUUUUUUUGAAGGUAAGAUAAUGUAAACUGGUAGACUGAUCUUCAAAUGAGCCCAGAUCAUAAAAGGAGCUUUGGUACAAUAAUCUUCCCAUACUCCAUCUCAUGCAAAUUUAGUUUUAUGUUGUUCCACUCUACAGUCAACUAAAAUAUAUCUACAAAAUGUAGUUUUGAAAAAAAAAAAAAAAUCAAGUCAAUGCUUUUUUUUUUUUUUCUUUUUUUUAAUACCGUGACAAAGCAACAAAAGCAAGCAGAAGAACCUCAACAACUUCACUAAUUUCUAUGGGCUUUGGAAAGCAAAUUGUAAUAGAAAAAUGAGUGCCAAUUCCAAGUGACAGAAUUACUAUUCCAGGCAAAAUACAGGGAGAGUAAACAUUUCUUUGGCAGAUUUUUUUCCCAGUAAGUCAAAACAUCAUAUUCAGUAUAGCACUGAUUGCCUACUAUUCAUGUCAAGGUACAUUUGUUCAAUACAACUUAAUAUAACAGUAAGUCUAUAAAGAUAUCUGCAAGGUAAGAAUAAAAGAGAGACAAAACAACUUACAUUAUUACCAGGGGGACCGGGUAGACCACGAGCACCAGGGAAACCAGCAGCACCCUACAAGAAACCAAUACUUUUAGUUGCUGAAGAUGAGAAAAAAAAUGAUUUCUGUACAAAAGGUGAGUUAGAAUUCUAUUUAUUUGUUUUGUAUAAAAUCUCAAUUUAAGGUCCUGCUUAAGUUGAUGUUUUUAAAUAAUUAUUUUUUAUUCUAAUCUCCCUCCCCACUUCUUUCAUCAAGGGUAUGUCCUUUAUGUUCCCAAAGGAAAACCAGUUGUCUCUGAGAAAGUUGACAGACUGCAAAUAAAAUCUACUAACUGUGGAGAUAUUAUAGCUUUGUGCCCCAACAAUUAUUUUGGCACCUCCUUUUUAUUAAAUUCACGAAACCCAGGUUACCAAACACCUCAGACUUAAUCACACCUUGUGAUGAAUCUGCAUCACGUUUGUUGUAAUAGUCAGUGAGAAAUGGUUCUGUUUGUUUCAAAGAGGUACUUACAGGGCCUCCAGGAGAUCCACGUUCUCCUUUUACUCCUUGGGGACCAGGCGGACCCUACAUGGAUGGAAACAAAUAUAUUGAAAUAAUUUGAAAAAUAGCUAAAGACUGUAGGUAGCAUCAUUAAGCAGAAAGGAGUUCAGAUGCUUGUGCUUGGGCCCAGCCAUGCUGUGGCUGAGGGAAGGUUGAAUAAGCCUCUCCCUUGGCAGCCAUAAGAGCAGCACAGACUUACUGGUGCACCAGGACCACCCUGUGGACCUGCAGCUCCAGGGGGCCCAGCCUCUCCCCUCAGACCAGGUGGGCCUCGCUCUCCUUUCCCACCAGGUUCACCAUUCUGGCCCUGUAAAAAAGUUAUAACACAGAAGAUAACACUGUGAUGAGAAACCUUACCCAGAUCCUCUUCCAAAGGGAAGAGUUUUAUUGGUCAACUAGAAUAGAAAGAAAAGGAUAAAAACAUAAAUGUUGCCAUAUGUGUGACUGAGUACAGAGUAAAUAGCAAGGAAAUCAGUGUCUGUUAUCAAAAUAUGCAUUUAAGUAGUUAUAGCAAGUCCAAGAUGAAAGUGAAUUUCAAAAAAUGAGAAAUGAAAAAUCAUACUCUAUUGCUUUUAAAUACGCAUACUUACUGGAGCUCCAGGGAAGCCAGCAGGCCCAGGAAGACCUUGUUCUCCUCGCUCUCCCUAUAGAAAGCAGUAAGUCAGCAAUGGGAGUUGUUAGAAAAACAGGCUUCAUAUUUGGAGUUAGAGAGUACUGCUGAAUACAACUGGAGUUUCUUUGUCUUAGCAAUCUAGGGAGAGGAGGAAAGGCAAACAACCAAAGCUAACAGUUGUGCUCCUGAGCUCUAAAAAGAACUGCUCAGAAAUUACCUGAAAAUUAUAAUUGUGAAAAUAAAAAUGGUUUCAGUUACACCUAUAUAAGCCCUGACCACAAUUCAUGGUAGUACCUAGAUAUAAUCAAUGAAUUAUUUUAUCAACGAUAUAAGAAAUAAUAUUGCAGUAAGUUCGUUUAACUGUAUGACAAGACAGAAACAAACAAGACAUUUCUCUGCUUUAUCAACCACCAGAUGGUCCACAUUCUACCCUGACCUGUCACUGCAGCCCUCCAAUCCCCUUACACUGCUAAAACCACUGGAUUUCUCCUGAAGUCCUUAGCAAAUGUAAAUCCCAAGAGUCCAACAGGAGCUGAAUGUGCUCAGUUUAUUAUCGUCUCAAGCUGCUUUUGCUCCUGAUAGAGACAGUAUUAAACUUCUAUUCAGCUCAGCCAUGGUAAAACUACACUGGAAGAGGAGUGCUGUCACUUACCGGACCACCACGGGAACCUGCAGGACCUGGGGCACCAGCUGGUCCAGUCUCUCCCUGUAAGGAACAAAAAUAGUUACCAGGACUCCUUCUUCUUCCCAGGAACCAGCCAGCAAGGCUGCUGCUUACAGUGCCACACAGCGCCACGAAGGAUGCUUUACCUUAUCUCCAGGUGGGCCAGCAGGACCAGGAGGACCAAUGGGACCUACGUUACCCUAAAAUAAUAAAAAAAUCACGUGGUACGCACAGUCACAUACACUCUACAUUCCUUAUAUAUGUAUGUAUAUAUACAUAUAUACAUAUAUAUAUAUAUAUAUACACACACACACAUAUAUAUACAUAUAUAGUUUCUUUGUAUGUAUAUACAGAUACAUUUUAUUUAUAUAUAUAGAGAGAAAUUAUUAUGUAUCAAAAAUGACAGUUAUCAACUUGAUAAAUAUCAUUUAUAUUUCAGUGUAAACACAUUCCUAAUGGAAUUUAAAUGAAAGCAGUUCUAUAACGCCAGUGUGCUGCUGCACAAUACGUUUCAGAGUAACAUAAUGAGAUCACACCAUUUAGUGCAGUGUGAGUUCUUAUUUCCCCAGAUCCUCCCCUGUAAACCUAAAACAAAGUCAUCUGAGGUCAACAGGUGUCUUUCCGUUGUAAUAAUGAUAGUUAUUUACUGCCCUGAAUUUAAUAUAUAGGUAAGUGGACCAUAUUUCUUCAGGAUUUCUCCAGUGUUGUUCAACUCCUUCAUUGUAUUUUCCAUGAGAAUUUGAUGCAUGCCUUACGUUUUGAAAUCCGUUUUUCUCCUUCCUUCAAUUCAUACAACCUGCAUUAAUAUAUUUAUUUGCUCCCUCUCAUUAUUUUUAUGUAUAUAUUGCUUGUGUAUAGUUGUUGAACACAUGUUCAACAAUUUGCAUGUGCUGUGGAUAGAUACAUAAAUAAAUAUAUAGUAAACUGUUCAAGUAUUCUGCAUGACAGCCUUUGCUAUCACAACAUCUUGUACUUCAGUAUUGCCGAAAUACUUCUCUUCAAUUGGCUCCAUCCAGGAAAUUCACAUUUUUACUACUUUUAUAUUGGUGCUUUCCCUCCAAAGCCUGGUCUCCAUUAACUGUCAUCUUCUCCUUGCAAAAAUUCUAUUAUUUCUGCUGUAAUGGCCAUGAUCACAAGGAAUAGUAAUAAGACUAAAUUAGCUUACAAAACCGGAUUUACACAGCCAGAAUGUAAUACAACCGGGUUACUACUUUCUCUCUCCUAGAUAGUAUUUAUUCACUGUAACUCUACUCGCAUUUAAUGCAUAGACAAGAUGAAUUUAAUUCAGAAACUGAAGCUUAAACACUCACUCGCUCUCCUCUUGCACCAGGAAGGCCAUCAGCACCUUUACCACCAGGUUCUCCCUAGAAAGAAAGAUAUAAGAAUUGUAAGCGAAAAGCAGAAGUAAAACAAACAAACAAAUAAAAACAAAAGAACAAAAAAAACCCACAAGGCCCCCUCAAAUUAAAACAUUACUGUGGAGAGCAUCUCAUACUGAGUAUAUCCAAAUAACUCGAUUUCCUUAUUGUGAUCACAUAAGUAUAAAAUGGGAUGACAUUCUGCCCAGUACUGUGCAUCUGAUACUGAAUAUUUUGAUGCAAAAAAUGCAUACAUUUUUAAAAUGGCACCUAUAACAGGGGCAGAGAAUGUGGCAUGAACUACUCUUGUUGAUAUUAGCUUAAUUAGACCUGUUCUAUUCUAUCCUUUCCCCAGUGAGAGCUAUUGGAGUAAAAUAUCUAGCAUGUAUUACACUAGCUGUAAAAUGCGCUAUUUUUCAAAUGCAUUAUAGCCCACAUGACACUGCUAAAACUACAAGCGGAGGCCCUACACAUUUAACACUUCUAACGUUAGUCCAGAAGUCAGCAUAUGAACGAAUCCAGAGCCUUGUGGAAGGUUAACACAGAGUUAGCAUAAAACCCACAGGAUGUUCAAGAUGGGCAUGUUACCUUAUCCCCUUUGGGUCCAGGACUCCCAGAAGCUCCUCUUUCUCCUGGCAUUCCCUGUAAACCAGGCAGCCCUGUGCCUCCAGGGGCACCAGGGGGACCAGGAGGACCCUAGAAAGUGACGAAAAUUGUUAGGAAGGAAAACCAAAGAACAACAUUGAUCUGAAUGCUUCCUGUAGCAAGGGAAAUGCAAGCAAGCCUGUGAGUACCUUGGCACCUUCGGAGCCAGCAGGACCUGGCCCACCUCUUGCUCCAGUAGGUCCUGGAGGACCUUGUGCACCACGUUCACCUGGGAUGCCAUUUUCACCCUAUGACAAAGAAACAUGUUAUUCUUUGUUGUCAGGAUCAUAUUUUGUUAGUUCAUUAAUGUAAUCAUAGAAAUGAUGCUGUAUGUUUUACCUUAGGGCCUGGGAAUCCGGGUCCUCCAAUAUCACCUUUUGGCCCCUGUUUUAGAGAAAAUAAAUGCAACUUAUACAUGAGCUUUAGUUAAUAAAUCCAUGUUGUGGUUGACACCCUGUUUAUCCCAGCUUUGAUUCCUAAAAGCAGACUUCUCUGCUCUGCAGAACACUGAUAGCUGUCUGAUUUUGGCAAUGCGGUCUGCGAAGACCUCAGCAUAAUUUUUUUAUUUUAUUUUUUUAAUUGUCUGGGAAAAAAGAAAAAAAAAUGGUAAUACUACUUACAGGCUCUCCAGGCUUCCCAUUUUCUCCAGCUGGUCCGGGUCCCCCAGGCAAACCCUGUAAGAAGGAACAGCAUUGCUAUGUAAGUCUAUGCUAUGCAGGCAAGUUAUGCAUUGUCCUCCCUAGCAAAUUUUUUGGACACAGAUGCGUACCCCACCCAUACCAAUCCUUCACAAACGAGGAGGAGCUGAUAUGAUAGCUAGCGGUUUAGUGCAGCUCACUCCACUGAGCCAGCUAUCUGGUUUGCAAUUCUGAAACACUGAGCAAUACAUUCUGUCAAUUAAUUAAACUGUUUUACUUCAAAACAUGAUGACGCUAAUGACAUGAAUCCUAAUGAAAAUGUUUAGAUGCUUCCUCUCUUUUUUUUUUUUGUUAAAAAGCAGUUGACAACAAACACACAGCACCUGUAGGCCAGGUGAACCUGACGGUCCUGGUUCUCCUCUGUCCCCAGCAGGACCCUAGAAUCAAACAAAGAAGGAAAAAAUGAAAUUGCUUAUAGAUAAAGACAUUCUCAAACAAUUCCACACCACCUUUAACCUACACCUCCUUAUCUUGAACUGAAGAAGACACUGUGCAAUUCUAAGGCUAAUAUAUCUUGGUGUUCUGUUAUUUGCUCUUUUCACUCUAACCAUCAGAUUAAUUCAGCAGAAAUAUUUAACUCACAGGAAUAUUUGACACUAGACUGAAAUUGCUAGCUCUGAUAAGCUUCAAAGGGAGUACUAAUACAUCUCAAUUAGAAAAGCUGCUACAUCCUUGACAGCUGUGAAUUGACUUUUCAUUUCAACUUACACUGGAUAUACCUGCCUCAGGUUUCUCCUUACAAAGUUUUGAGUAUUAAGGUAUGAAAAAUACGGGGAAGGAUGGGAAUGGAAAGAUCUAGUGUUUAUCUUCAUAAAAGGAGUUUUCUUUAGAACAUAAAAGUAUUCUUUCCCCUAAAAUUGCAGUCUCUGUCUAAGCAGCAGACCACCUUGGCAACAGUUGAUAAGUGACUCUUAAAGGAGUCCAACACUUACAGCAGGUCCAGGAGGACCGGGGAGGCCAACAUCACCAUUCUUCCCAGCAGGACCCUGUACAAAGACAAAACUAGCUAAGGUUAUGGGUUAAUAUAAUUUUUUAUAAUAUCAACCAAAUUAUUAGUAGUUAAUAUUUUUUCCUAUAUUAUUAAAAAGAAAUUAUGAACAAAACUUACAGGAGUUCCAGGUGGUCCACCAGGGCCUCUUUCUCCAUUCUUACCUGGUGCACCCUUACAAAAGAGAAAGAUCACAUGUAAAAUACUUGUUCUAGUCCACACACAAUAACUUAACAACUGCAGCAUUGAAUCUCCCAUGAAGCAAUAUAAUUUUACCACAUGACUGCUCAAGCAUAAGCACAGGAGAAGUGGAAACAGCCCACUAACCUCAUUUCCUUUUGGACCAGGAAAACCCAUUACACCUGGCUGACCACGUGGGCCUGCUGGGCCAGGUGGACCAGAACGGCCAGGUUCACCCUGAUUACCCUGGGAUAGACAGAGAAGAAAUGAAGAUAUGACAUCAGUUAAGUGAAAUAAGUACAUAUCUACGAAUCAUUAAAGAGCAGGCUAGAGACACUUUGAUUUAUCGUGUAUUUUAGAUUUCAACCAAGCUUUUGUAUAUGCUGUACUUCAAGUAAUAUUGAAAAAUAAGAUCUGCAAAAAGCUCUUACAAAGAAGCGGCACCUGAACUGCUCCAGUAAAUUCAAACAAACAAGAGAAAAUUAAUCUGACUAUGAUAACAAUGUACCAAGGAGACAUGCUGCAGGAUCACAGUAAGGCUAGCGGGCAGACUAGCAUAAAAUACAUGCACAGUAUACAUACUGGGGGGCCAGGCUUCCCAUCACUUCCAGGACUUCCUGGAAUCCCAGGCAAACCCUGCAAAUGAAGAAAAAAAAAAACAUUAUUCUUCAGUUUAAAAUGGCUUACAAUACAUAAAUAUAAAAAUUAAAAAAAAAAAUUAAAACGUUUUCUUUGUUUUUAUUUUUUUUACUAUUAUUUUUUAAAUAUUUUUAAGUCCUACUUUAAGUAAUUCAUUUCAAUUUCCAAUAACAUUUUCAUCACCUCUAAGGAGCCUGCAUUCAGGCUCUAAUUUGUUGAUAGCAUUUGCUAACACUCAGUACAGUUCACAUAACAUUACUACAUUCUGCACAUAAAUUCUUGGUACGUACUAUGAAAAUUGAACCAAUUAGAUUUUCAAUAAUUUGCAUUAGUUACAACUAAGCAAUAUAGAAGGAAUAUUUAAUUAUAUUUAAUUAGUCAAUGCAAUUUAUAAUACAAUUUAAACAAUUAUUUAAAUUUAAAAUUAAUUCUACUUUAGUAAUGAAUAUAUGUAAGACACACUGAAAGUAAUGCCUCCUACUUAUUUACAUGGAAAAUACAACAGACACAAAGAGCACAAUAAUACUGUUUAAUAGAGCAAGUUUGUGGCUACAAAAAUCUGUUUUUCAAGAUAUUCACCAUCACUGGCUGUGCAUUCUUGCGAGGGGUGAACAAGGGCCUGCAUGCCAUGCUUGUAAAAAUUGCACCAGCAGAUAUGACCCACUGUCACUACCGCUGAAACGCACCACCCACCACCUCACUGCCCUCACAUCCCACUUUUGGUCUCCAUAAAGGUUCAGUAUGAAUGUCAAUAGGUGCCAUUUUUUUCUGCAGGGAGAAAUUCUGUGACACGUCUUUGCUUCAUAUGCACUUCCAUCUCAGAUGCUGUAACGCUAUAAUGUGAUGGAAAGUACAGUGAUAGUAGCAGAGUAGCACAAUCCUAGGCUAUAGCAAAUGAGAAAAAGCCCGAAUUCAGCAACUGUGGAUGCAAAAACAAAGAAAAACUGCUUACCCUUACAAAGCCUCAGGUACAAAGGGAUAUCCAGUGAGAUACCUCUACCUCCACUGCCAACCCUUAAAUGAAGUCUGAGAAGGGGUGGAUCCUGGCUGAGUAGUCACUCAGAUGAAUUGCAUGUACCUGAGCUCUUCUGGGUUGGCCCUGCCUUCCCAGAGUUCUCAAUCACAGCCCCAGGCCAUGACUCAACAUUUCUGCUACAAAUGUCAUUUUGUCAGACUGCCCCUCUGCUGAGAUCCAUUGCACAGCAACAAAACAUAAUGGAAUACUGGCAGGAAGGUUCACCCUCUACUGCCAUACCAUCAACAUCCGCCUCUCACGUCCCGGGUCAAAAUAAUAAAACGUAAAGCAUUACUUUCAGAGUAACCUUCAUAAAUAUAUUUAAUUUAAUAACUAAUUUUAUUAUCUAUUAAAUAUUAUAAGCAUAAUGUAUCUAUAGUAAAUUUUAAGAUAUAUUAAAACAUAAAAGCCAUAAUAUUCACAUCAAAGCCAUAUGUGAUAACAGUGCACGUUGUAUUCUGAGAGCAGUGGAGCAUCCUUACCUUAGUAUAAACUGCAUGCUUUCACAUACGACAUAAAGCUUCUGAAUGCUCCACGUUACUGUAUGCUUAUCUAUUACACUAUGAACCUAUGUACUAAACUUAAAGGAUGUAAUAACAUCAUUAGUGUUCUUUUCUAGUUGCGCUUCCUUCAUCAGCUUCGAUGAAGCACCUCUAAUAGAAUUUGCUUUAUUUUCUGUAGACAUCCUGUCUUACCCUCAUUCCUGGAAGACCUGGGCCUCCAUCUUGACCACGGUCUCCCGCAGGUCCACUUGGGCCAGGGGGACCUGGGCUGCCACGCUCACCUGCAGGACCCUAAAAAAAGACAUUAAAAUUUACAGCAAGAAAAUGUGUAUCUCAUUGAAUCUGAAAAUUAACAUGGAUUCCACAGAAGUUUGGGAUAGAUUUAUGGGAAGACUUGUACCUUUUCACCUGGAAGUCCGUUGCUACCGGGUAAGCCACGGAAACCAGGAGAGCCCUGCCAAAUAAAUGAAGAAAACAUGGAUCUUAGACAAUACGACUGAGUGGAACAUACUUUUUCUAAACUGUUUACCUUUAGACUUUCAGAAAACUGGUCAAUGAAAUAUAUUGAAAUUACAUUUCUCUGUGAUAAGAAUGCGAGAAAAAUAAUUUUUGCCUGGAUAAAACCCUCCUGUUGAUAUAAUAGACAGUCCUUCACUUAUUUUAACAGGUCCUGCAUUAGUCCCUUUAUUCAUUAGAAUUUUUUUAAAGUAAAUUCAUAUUAAAAAAAAAAAGAAACAACAAAUGGAAGUCUUGCAGAAUUAUUUUCUUCUAAUUCUAUUCUGAAAAUUACUCUAUUGUAUUAUUAUUGCUUACAAGAAAUUUUAAUUAUAUCAUUCGCAGCCCAGCAUAUAUAUUUAAUAUAGUUUGUUGACAUUAUUGUUGACAUUAAUAUAAUUGCUGACAUUAUUCACUUUUAAGGCACACUGACAUUAAAGAUGAUGACAUAAAGACAUAUCCUGAAUGUAGAAGAAUUUGCAUCGUUUUCACUUUUCACAGGAAAUUUUUUGUCACUAUUCUUUUUUUUAGAACUUUCAAAAAUUGCAUAAAAGUCAAUUUUUUUUUCAAUCCCUAUGUGCUUCUCACAGAUUAUAGCUGAUUUUCAGAAAGAAGCUUUAGAUAUGACUUCCACAUUACUUCCUCAAUAUAUUAAAAAAAAAAAAAAGAAAUGAAAUGAUUUCAGUCUGAGUUAGAACCAAGCUCUGCAGCUCAGAUUAGGAACUCAAUAAGAACUCUCCCAAGUUUUGUACCCGACUCCACAUGUUGAAUUUGGUGAGACCUGAUAAGGAGCCAAGUUUUUCCUCCAAGCACUCUAACACCAGAGUUUGUUACUACCAUACAAACUCAAAAUAUACACAGUGCGCAUGGUCAUCUACAGUGGUUUACCCUCUCUCCAGGUGUCCCAGGGACGCCAUUCUGGCCAGGUUCACCGUUUGCACCUCUCUUGCCUUCCUCACCGGGAGGUCCAGGAGCACCUGGGGUGCCAUUUUCACCCUGGCAACAACACAAGCCACCAGCAAACUUAGACAUCUCCAAAAAACCCUAAUGUUUUUUGUGUGUGGAACAAUUCAGAGUUCAGACUUCCUUGGAAGAAGUCUCUGAAGGCAUUUUACAAUUACUUACACGCUCGCCUUUUGGGCCUGGAUCUCCUUUUGCACCAUUCUUACCAGGUUCUCCCUAAACAGAAGAAAAUCUCAUUGAAGGUACUGACUGCAGCAUUUUUUUAUUCCGAAGCUAUGAUAAAAUGCUAAAAUACUAAGAGAUACACAUUAUAUAUUUCAAAAUACAGACUAAUUUUUAUUAUUUUAAUAACUUAUUGCAACACACUUAGUAUAUCAGUUGGACCUCAAUGUUGAAUGUAUGGGACUCUUUAAAAAUCCAGUAAAGAAGUGAUGCAAUCUUAAGCACCACUGAGAAUAAUUUUAUAUCUGUUUUUGAGCCAGCAUAGACAUUGACAUGACUUUAACUUGAAGUCCCUGAGAAUUUCUCUAAGAACUGUGUGUGGUGUAAAGGUGCCAGGAGAGAACAUAUUGAGGUAAAUGACAGGAUUAGAGUAGGUGCAACUCACUGGGUAUGUUGGGCUGUAGACUCAGGCCCGUGAGAAUUAAAGCAGGUGAAACUAGGAUUUUACAAUGACAGAUUUUGUUUAACACAGCUUUUUUAGUCAAGAUAUUUUCUGUUGUGUUUUUCUGAUUUGAUACAUAAUUUAGAAAAGCAAAUAUUACUAGUAGAUUUAUGUACAGUAUCUUCUAUACCAAUAUACAAAGUAACGCAUGAAAGAUAAAUAAUAUAGUUUUAAAAAAUAAUUGUCUACUGUCGUUAUCAUAAAAUAAUUUAUUAGUCCAUCUCAAAUGAAUAGGAUAAAUUAAAUGUGUUUUCUUUUUAAUGGUAUCAGAACUACAUUCACCACAUUAUUUUGUUCAACUGUUGUAAUGGAUACUAGUAACUCACAGGAGUGCCUUUUGCUCCAGGGUUUCCACUUGUACCAGGAGGACCAGGAAGACCACGGCCUCCUGGAAGACCAGGAGCACCAGGAAUCCCAGAAGGUCCCUGUGGAGAGCCAAAGGGGAUCAGGAUUAACAGAGCUCCACAUGGCUGGAUUCUGCCUAGUCCUCAUUAACACAGCGCAGCAAAAUACAUUGAUGUGAAAAGUACUUACCAUUUCACCCUUGUUGCCGGGGCUUCCAGCUCUUCCAGGAGGACCCUGGAGAAGAGAAUUAUUUAAAUAAUUGAUGCUGCUCACCUGGCAUCCUUAAACCAAAGGAGUCCUUGGGCUUUGUGAAGAGAUUCUGGACCCACACCUCCUAGUCCUCCUUUGAUAUUUCCGUACCUGAGGCCCAGGGGGCCCAGCUUGACCCUGAGGACCAGGUUCUCCUCUCUCACCAGGACUGCCACUAGCACCAGCAGGGCCAGGAGGACCAGCUUCACCCUAAGGAAGAACAGCAGAAGUGAAAAAUGAAUGGGUUUCAGUCAUGACUCCAGGGGAAUCAUCUUCAUGGCUUCUUUCUCUCCUUUGCAUGAUUUAAGAAAAACACUACCGUGUCACCUGGGUGCAAGAGCCAGAUCAUUUCAGCUAUCCAAAGCUGAGGCACAUGAUCCCAAUACAUUCCAACAAACACAUGCUGCAUGGCUCCUUUGUGGAAAGUUCACUUGAGACUCUCCCAUAAAGCUGCAAAAAGCAGUAGAUCUACCACUGCACUGUAUUUUAGGGUGGGUGUUUUUGAAGAUCAGCUCAUGCUGCAUAUGAAAACAUAUCAGUUCUAUGUUUGUGAACAGUAUGACAGCAGCCAGAAAAAGGAGUGUCCAUAAAGUGAAGAUGUAUGGUGACAGCUGUCCAACUGGAAAAAGGACAAAAUCUCAUGUUAGCACAUAUAUUUAGCUAAAUACCUUAAAACCUGGAGAGCCCGGAAAUCCUGCAGUUCCAGGGGGACCUGGAGGACCCUUAAAAAGUGAAAGAAAUACUAUUACUACAAGAAGUAAAAAGCCAUAUGGAUAGAAUUAAUCUGAAGUUUUAAAAAAAUGUCUGAUUAUGACAUUAUUCUCUGAAUAAAGAAACACCUGGCAAAAUAGGCAAAAUAAACCAUGUUGUAGAAGAUGAAGCUUGGCUAGACCUACAAUAUCACACCAAUAUGUCACCUACCCUGACUUUCAUGUUCAUGUUCAGCUGAAUUUAUGUGUUUUAAGAUUAAAAAAACACAUAAAUUUAUCAUGAAAGAGAUUAAGAUAUAAAAUAGGUCAAAAUUUUUAUUAAGAAAAGAGAUGUAAGAGAAAAGCAAGUCAAUAGAAGUGUUAUACAUACAUGUGGGCAUGCUCAGGUUUCAUCAUGAAGAUGAAAAAGAAAAAAGACUUUUGCACACUUCAGCUAAAUAUUGUCUUUGAUAAGACGACUCUUUUCUUUCUGCACAGAGAACUGCAGCUCUAUCCAUCUACAUGUUCCCUGAGAACAAUCUGUCUCCAGAUUUAUGCAUUUUCUGAUUUACAGUGUUAAAAGUCUCCUAUUUUCACGGUAGUCUUCAAGUAUCUUGACUAAUACUUGAGCAACACAAACGUUUAAAUUCAAACAACUGUAAGUCUUACAGGUGGGCCUGCCGCUCCAGGAGCUCCAUCUUUGCCAUGGGCACCCUAUGGAAAGAACAGAGGUAAAAGCAUCUGUUUGGAAGUAGAACCUAUGUUCUAGUCCCAUCACUCACAAAGCAUCUUUUUGUGUUUGUACUAUCCCACUCAGUUUACCAAAAUCCAAAGAUUCCCCACGUGAAACAUUCUAGAACAAUGAUUAACUAAAUAUUAUGGAAAGAAUAUUUAUCGCUUCAUGUGACUUGCACUGUAAUGAUAAAACAGGAAAAUAGAUACUUGUGAAAUUUCUUAAGGAGAUGACAGUUACAAGCAUCACCCCUGUGGCCAGUUUUUACAGUUGAAUAUGUAAAAUCACAAUAACAGAUAAUUGUAAUUCACAUUCAACACUAAAAUUUCACUCCAUCAGCCUAACAGAAUGUGAUAUCACAACAGGUGUGAUUUAAAACCUACUGCCCAUCUUUUAGACAUGACAGACCAGGUCUGCCACUCAGGCUAUGCAGAUGUUGAACAAACAUAUUGCUGGUUAUUAUAUGCUAGUAGAGCUUUGUUGAUUUUGUUGAAUGCUAUGAACUGUGAUUUCUUUCAGGAGAUAGAAUAUACCCUCUAACCUUGGUGUGAAUGUAGUUUUUAUCUUUUUCCUGCAAGGAAGUUCUAAGAUUGUAUUUUUUCUUCUCGUGCUCUUUCCUUCCACUCUGCCUCCCUGUUCUUAUUGGCUGAACCUAUGCUUCUGUUGAAACACCAAGCUUUCCCACAAAAUGAAUCUAUUCAUUUAAAAAUGAAAUACUAAAAUUGCCCACAAGUUGUGAGUUAAAAUUGUGUCAUGCUUACUGUCAUCUUCAGCUGGAGACUAAUAUGUUUCUAGAUGUCAUUUUAGAGAUGCUAUGUAGUUUUCCAGUCCCUUGCAAAACAGCCGUUUUAAGACAAAUCAAUGACCAGGGAAUUCCCAACAUACUGAAAUAAAAUGUGCGGCUCAUUGAUAAGAUCAACAGCCGCAAUUAAUUACUUACAGGGCCACCAGGAUUUCCAGGUCUUCCUCUUUCACCAGUUGGACCUCUUGGUCCCUAGAAAACAUGAGAAAACUAGUCUGCCACACGGCUUCCGGAAUACAUAGGGUCUAGUAUUUCUCUUAUUUGCAGAGCUCAGUAUUGGCAAUGCAUGCAGUGGGGUAAUUAAAAGAAAAAUAAGUUCAUCUAUUAAGGAAAAAAUGCCAUUGGCACUUCCAUUUGUAUGCUAAAUGAUACAAAUAUUUACCGGUUGGCCUGGUGAUCCAUUUGCUCCAGGUUGACCAGCUUCACCCUGUGGUGUAAAGAAAACACCAAACAAUUACAGAAUGAACCGUGGUGAGAACAUUUAUUUAUUUAUUCAAGAGGAAGAGACAUGGAAUCAAGACAACCCAACUCUUUGCCCCUGAACAUGUAGUGCUGAGUGUCCACAGUACAAACUGAUGUCUGUGAGGUGUGAGACACCUAAAAAAGUGCCAGAACAAAAGAUCUCAACAGAAAAGAAGUAAUUGGGAAGAUCUGGUCAUUCAUUAUUACACAAUAAAGUCAAAUGAUCUGAGCACAUCCCCUCAUUUUUGAAUCUUGCCUCUUUCACAGUUAGAAAGUCAGGGCAUUAUAUUGUUUAGAAAGUCCAACUUUUUUCAGGACGAUUCUCAUUCUUUUCAUGGAGAGGUUCAAUGAGUUUCAAUACUUAACGGCUUUCUGUAAGAGCAUAACGUGCAAAGUAUAACUACAUAACAAGUAAUGGAGAAUAGUAUUGUACCUAUUAUAAAGAUUAUACUAGUUUUCUUACCUUUGGACCAGGAGCACCACUGUCACCUUUGGCACCAUCUUUUCCAUCAAAACCCUGUGGGAAAGGAAAACCAGAUCUGUGAAUAGUAUUUCUCCUGUGGGGUAGAAAAUCUGAUUCCCCUUGGCCAAAUAUUGAGCUUUAAGGGCACUGUUUCUUAUGAUUAUUUUAAAUGUGAAAAGAAUUGAAAAUGCCUUUGAAAAAUAGAAAGAUAUUUUACAUGUUCUUAUAGAAUUGCAGUAACAAAUAGAGAUUUUUUUUUAAGAAAACACUACAUGGGAAAACUAGAGUGACAGAGUAUCUUUGUGUAUGUGGAAUAAAUUGUGGGCUGCAGUUUACACUGUUCAGAGCUCACUCUCAGUCUCAUUUCAGCUUGUUUUCCUACUAUCACACAGAUCGAAUAUUGAUAUUAAAAGAGAGGUUUAAAUAUGUUUUAGUGAUUAUAUAUUAUAAAAGAUAUAGAAUAAAUGCUAAAUGCAAAUAUUCAUUAUUUCAUUAGCAUAACAGGUGCAAGCUGAGUGCUUAAAGCAGUCAAUAGAAACAAUUAUUUCUAAAAUGUUAAAUGAUUUUGUAGCUAUAAUUGCUUACUCUUUAUUUUUGAAGUAUAAAAAGUAGAAGUGAUAGAAAGAAGAGCCUUUAAUGUACCUUCUUUGGCUUUGGUUAAUUUUAUGUACAUUUAAAUUAUUUUCCUUCAUAUUUAAAGCUAUAACAUCAUAAAAUUAAAGAAGUGUGACGUGGCUAA
Molecule: long non-coding RNA, 20210 nt
Organism: Gallus gallus (chicken)
Lineage: Eukaryota; Metazoa; Chordata; Aves; Galliformes; Phasianidae
Exons: 2
Source: RefSeq, a predicted model, not a curated record